UAAGGAGCUGCUAAGAAUGCCAAAAGACUCAGAAAUACAGAUUCAAAAGUGGCAAACACUCACCAAGUAUGAAGAAUCCAAAUCCACUAAUCAUCUUAUUAUUGUGCCUUUGUUUUUACCAAUCAAUAAUGCUGUGCUCAAGCUACAUAAAUCCCAAUCAAGUGAAGGGAUCAAAAAAUAUGCAGGACAACCUUCUGUACACUAACAUUAUGUAUUGAUUAACAAGCAAGUAUAUACAACUCACUUCAAUAAGCUGGUGUGGUUGCAUGCACAUCAAACCAAAACUGAUAUCGGAAAUCUGUGUUCCAGUCUCGUGUUCCAUGAGAGUUUUCGGCUCACAAGACGGUUCUAAAAAAACAUAAACAUAUCAACAAGAGUGGUAAAUCCUGCAGAAAUUCAGUAAGAAUUUGAUUCAUAUGAAUACGAAAGCCAAGGGUGCUCUAGUGCCUCCCUUGCAGUUGGACGCCUCAAAGGAUUGACCUCAAGCAAGCUUCUCACAAAGUCGAUAAAUCCAUCAUCAUAAGUCUGCAGAUGAUGCUCCAAUGAGGACUCCUCUGGGAUAAUGUACUCUAUUUGGUUUGUUUCCUGCACACAUAAUUAGCAGCAUUAGUAAUAAGGAGUGGUGAAAUUAGUAUAUGGGGGCCCCAGAAACGGGGAGAGUUCCCUGUUUGCUCUUGUAGGGAGGUUGUUUAUGUUUAUGCAACUUGAGCCCAUGACCUUCUGAUCACAAAGAAACUCAAAUCACAGUGGAAAUUGAUUAAAUUAUUAAUCAUUAAGGGAAGUCUAUUAGAAUAUGAUCUCUCGACUUAAAAGUACUUUUAUGCGUCUCAUGAUUUAAAAAAAAAUUCCCCCAGUGGAGUUUGAAUUUAGCAGCGCAUUAACGGUCUAAAUAAUUUCACCUAAAUUGAACUUCAGACAACGAUUACUUCAGCUUUCACUGUCUCACACAUGAAGACAAGAAGUCAUGUCCAAAAUUGAGUUGCAGGCAAAGCAUGCCCAGUAUAUUAUGAUUUGGUGAAGUAAAUAUGGUUGACAAACCUCAUUUACAUAAUAGAGAUCGUAUUCUUUUGUAAAGUACUUGUGUGUCUCCUGCCCCCUCACCAACAUCUCCAAAUCAAUAGGGCCCAGCAUCCCAAUCAUAAGUGCAAGGAUCAUUACAACCGCAUCAUUUGGAAACAGCACCUGAUAAAGAAUAUAUAUUCAAUAUGACAUGCUGACUAAAUUAUUGAAGGGAACUAUUCUAUAAUGUUCAAGGCAAUCCAAGAGAAACUUCAAUGGACGCUGAAGCUAUCCAUGGAAUAUGCAAAGAUGAGUAAAGAUAUCAACUUUAAUUCAACAAAAAUAAAAAGUAAAGCUAAAACAUACUUCCCCAGAACAUAGCUCAGCCAAGAUGCAGCCAAGAGACCAUAAGUCAAUCUUCUGGUCAUAUGGAAGACCCAAAUUGACUUCAGGGGCUCUGUAGGAACGAGAUUGUACAUAUAGGCACAAGUUGUCUGACUUAAAGCAACUGCUUCCAAGAUCAAUAACCUUAAUCUCACAUCUCCUGUAACUCUUUAUCAGAAUAUUCUCAGGCUUGAGAUCACAAUGAAUAAUUCCCAAGUGAUGCAAGAAUUCCAGUGCCUCCAAACAUUGACGAGUUAUAACCUGCAGUCUGCUCAGAGUGAAAUAUGGUUCACCGCCUGAUUCUUGAUUAAAUUUCUGAAAUUCAUACAAGUUUGCACGGAGGAGUUCACAUACGAUGAAGAGAUGCUCCUGCAGAGUUCUAAGUAGACAAUAUUACAAGCAGUAUGAUAAUUUCAACAAGUGAGAAUAUUUUAAUGAUUAUCACAAUUUCUAUCAGUAAUUUAUGAGAACCAUACACAAGAUAAAGCCAUGAAAUCCCAGAUACGUGUUCUCUGCCACCAGUGACCGUAUGAGAAUAGAAUGAGAAAAAUUAUAAUGUUUUUGCUGAAAUUAAAAGGCACGAUUAUACUGUUGUACCAUAUAUUCAAGGAACGAGAUUAACGAGAAGGUGUAAUAGAUUCUUAUUAGCAAUAACUUUCAGGAAAAACACAAUAAAUUACCCAACUUUUCUAGAUUUACCUGGUGAUAGAAGUAGUCAUAAAGACGAAGAAUGUGGCGUUCAUCAGCUGGAUCAUGCUUGUUCACAAGCUUCAGAAGUUUAAUUUCAUCUAAACUCUGAUCGAAAAAAUCUUUAUCGUUUUUAAUAAUCUUCAGGCAAACAUCUACUUCUGUGUGAAGAUCAUGAGCCUGAACAACCUUACUGAAAGCAGCUGAACCUAGGUAUUCUGUGACAUAAUAUCUGCCUGCGAUGACAGAAUUAAGCACAAUAGGCAGAUCCUUAUUUUCCUCGAAUCCUGUCCUGUAGAUUGCAUAACUUGUAAGUAUACUGAUUCUACAUAUCAGCUAGCAAUGCACAUGCUUUAAAUAUCACUUGAAACAAAGAACCAGCAGCAGGAUUCCAAAACACACAAGACCUAAAUAAUAUAAAGGGUCAAUUUGCUAUACAGGGGAAGUGUCCUCCUUCCAAUUAAGAAUGACUUGAUAAGUUUAAUGAUGCUGAGAAGCCGGCAAGAAUUUGAGCAAGACAUAUUAGACACUACUAAACUAAAACAUGUUUAACUAAUUCCAAUCCAAUGCUUGAACGAAUUUUCUUAUGGCAUACUAAUUAGCUCCAAAAUUUUAACUAUCUCAGUUGAUAUCCAUACCAAGAUCAGAACUACAAUGCAACCAAAUCCUCAGGAAAUCAACUGUCUCAAACUAACCUGUUUUUCCUAUGUAUGAUUCGCAGAUCAAAUACUUCAUAUUCAUCCUCCUGAGUAUCGAACAUCAGAAGCUCAUCUGCAGUAACUUCACCAUCUUCAUCUGCAGCAGUCUUAAGCUCGUCAGCUUCUCCGUUUGCUUCUCUACCAUUUCCAACUUCAUAGUCAGCAAAUCCAUUUGAUAUUAUUUCAGUGGAGCUUUUAUAAUUUUCAAACAAGUCACUGUUGGAAUGCGCUUUUGAAGAGUAGUAACCAUUCUUGUUUUUUCCAUUUCCAGGAGCUACAUCACAAUCAGUGGGAAUAUCUCCAACUCUUAGCUGAAAAUCACUCAAAUAAGUGUUUUUGGAACUCGAAUAGAUGUGAUCAAUUGGAUCCCUAACAUAAUUUCCCUCUGCUCCUACACAGCAUUUGUAAAGAGGAACUGAACAACCAUUCCUCUCAAUACCUCCUUCAGGAUGGUUUCCAUUAUCAAAAUGAUAAAAAUCCAUUGCUUGAGCUUCAUUCUUAUCUUUCACAGAUGUCACAUUAAAAAGACAAGGCUUAUCCAAGAAAUCAUUGUUUGCUUCUGUUUCAAAUCCUUCAGUUUUAUCAAAUAAACUCUGUGGAUUUUCAAAUUGGUUCACUGUCCCUGAUGUCAUGACAAAUUUAUCCUCGCUUGGACCACCGAUGCAGUCUGGCCCAUUGAACGAUGGAGUCAUGAAGUAGCCCUCGUCUCUUUCAUCAUACCAAUAGAGGUCAUUUUGCAAAUCAAGACCAGGGUAAUCACGUGCUGUGCCAAACUGAGACAACCUAUCUGAUGAUGUUUCUGAAUUAUCUUGAGAUCCAGAACAAAGUCCAUAUGGAUUUGUAAAUUCUGAAGAGCACAAAUUACUAGUGGAAGAUCCCAAGCUAACAAACUCCUCAUCCGAGCCAGACCCAGAACUCGAUCUUGAACCUUCACCACCACCAACACCGCCAUCUUCAUCCGGACGCCGGAAGCUCGCCGGAAUCCUCACCGGAGGCAAAACAAACAAGAAUUUCUCGAAAUCAAAAGAACCCAGUUCAUGUUUCUCAAUCAUAUCCUCUUUAAGAGCAUACUCCGCUUCUUUUAGCCCAUUUUUGCGUAGAAAAUCCAAAACUGAUUGGACGUCUGAGAAGACUGGAACUGGAGGCUCUGCUGCUUCUGCUUCUGCUUCUGCCUUCGCCAUGAUAGUGAAAAGUCAAACAACACAGAGUGAAAGAUGAAAGGAAGCAGCAGGUGAUGAGUAAAUGUGAAUUAGGCAAAAUUGGAGGGUCAAAAGUGAGAAAAAAUAAGCCAUGUUUCAGG
RNAcentral lists this unclassified non-coding RNA (4068 nucleotides) under Hevea brasiliensis (rubber tree). The record is from RNAcentral. Lineage: Eukaryota; Viridiplantae; Streptophyta; Magnoliopsida; Malpighiales; Euphorbiaceae.